CCUACGGGGGGCUGCAGUGGGGAAUAUUGCACAAUGGGCGCAAGCCUGAUGCAGCCAUGCCGCGUGUGUGAAGAAGGCCUUCGGGUUGUAAAGCACUUUCAGCGGGGAGGAAGGCGUUAAGGUUAAUAACCUUGUCGAUUGACGCUACCCGCAGAAGAAGCACCGGCUAACUCCGUGCCAGCAGCCGCGGUAAUACGGAGGGUGCAAGCGUUAAUCGGGAUUACUGGGCGUAAAGCGCACGCAGGCGGUCUGUCAAGUCGGAUGUGAAAUCCCCGGGCUCAACCUGGGAACUGCAUUCGAAACUGGCAGGCUAGAGUCUUGUAGAGGGGGGUAGAAUUCCAGGUGUAGCGGUGAAAUGCGUAGAGAUCUGGAGGAAUACCGGUGGCGAAGGCGGCCCCCUGGACAAAGACUGACGCUCAGGUGCGAAAGCGUGGGGAGCAAACAGGAUUAGAUACCCCAGUAGUC
RNAcentral lists this ribosomal RNA (465 nucleotides) under uncultured Klebsiella sp. RNAcentral describes it as "bacterial SSU rRNA". It matches the Rfam family "Bacterial small subunit ribosomal RNA", at positions 338 to 795 of the family's 1533-position model. The record is from RNAcentral. Lineage: Bacteria; Pseudomonadati; Pseudomonadota; Gammaproteobacteria; Enterobacterales; Enterobacteriaceae.